UGACACAGUGGAACUGUCUAUAAAAACCUAUGAGUUUUACUUAGAGGCUGCUGGUUCUCUUUGGAGACGGGCUGCUCUCUGUUGUUGUGUGCACUCUUCAAUAAAGAGCUUUGUGUUCGGACCUUGCUGGUGUUGCCUGUCUCUCUCCGGUCAGACAACGAACCGUGCCGUCUGGGGGUUCGAGUCCUCGACAACUAUAAGCUCUAAAGAUGUGACAGCCUCUGAGCACAGUCUACCUCCUACUGUCCACAUGGUUGGAAAGCACCACCAUAACAAUCGGCAGCUUCACUGCCAGCCCCAGUGUUGGAUCAUAUUAAAGAAGUUCUGUAUUAAAAUCACAAAUGAGUUUGAUUCCCCAGAGUUUAAAUUCCAGGGUAUUACUAAUUAAGAGGUCUCUGGUUUUUUGGUACUGUUUCUCUCCCUCUAUGUGUGAAACUUGCAAGCUGCUAAUUGCGUUAGUACGUUCUAAGACAGAGUCUGUUCUCAAAGCAAUUCACACAGAGAGAGACUCAAAGCAAUACUCUGUAACAACAGAAACAGCACCCAGAGACUCCCCGCCCUUUUGUUGUAUUAACAAUUGUGAUUAAAAUAGAGAUGGAGGAUGUAUGUGGAUGGAUGCUUGGUGUGGAUAAUAACUGAAUGAUCAGGGAGGUGCCAGCCUAAGAAUCCAGUGUCCAUCGGCUGAAGAAGGCGUCAAGUGGAAAUAAACAGAGGACCCCCGGAGGGCAGACUGGAAUCCACCCAACAGCCUCAAGAAUGGGAGAACCAAAGAACAAGAUAACAUCUGGCAGCACGGAGCUGUCAGGAAUGUGCUAUCUGCUGAUUGAUUCAGCAACAGCAUGAUGAAGCAAUUCCCAUAGACUGGCAUAGGAAGAAAUUCCUAUAAAAAUGGACUCUGGAAAGUGAGAACUUUGGGGUCUGAUUCUGCAAACCAACUUCCAGGAGCAUCAGAUGAGCAUCUGACAAGGCCCUGCUCCCUCCUCAUGUCCAGGCCACCUGGCCAGUGGCUUGGCAUGAGCAACUCUGAGGCUGGUAACUAUGAUAACAACCUUGCAGAACCUGUGUGUGUGUGUUUGUAUGAAUGAAUGUGUGAAUAAAUAUGAGAUUGAAUGGAAUGUUAUAGCUAUAACUAACUGCUUACUAUGAUUCUUUCUGUAUUCACAAUAAAUGUGGUAUUUUGCCUUUUCCUCUUUAAUAAGA
Long non-coding RNA from Caretta caretta (loggerhead turtle), 1200 nucleotides. RefSeq lists it as uncharacterized. The record is from RefSeq and is a predicted model, not a curated record. Lineage: Eukaryota; Metazoa; Chordata; Testudines; Cheloniidae.